Molecule: long non-coding RNA, 481 nt
Organism: Rhineura floridana
Lineage: Eukaryota; Metazoa; Chordata; Lepidosauria; Squamata; Rhineuridae
Exons: 3
Source: RefSeq, a predicted model, not a curated record
GAGAUGCAUUUUUAUAAACAUUGGUUGGAGAACUGCAUUCUGAAAAGUGCAGUUUUUGAAGAAGUGUGAAAUCCAAAGCAUAAGAAUGUUCCUACUAGACAUUAGUUUGGGAGAUGUGGAUCACGUCAGUUCAUUUUGGAAUUUGCAAAGAACAAAUCCCUUAAGCAUCCUUCACCAUUUCUAAAGUUGCAGUGAUGUAUAGUGGAGAGAAUGCCAGACUGUGAAGGAAGAAACCAGAAUUCAAUUCCAGGAGAAUCAACAGGGUUUGCAUUGAAGGGUCACCAUGAGCUCAAAAUACUUCAGAAUGCCUGGACUCCCAGGGAAAACAGAAGCACAUCAGAUGUCCUCACUGCAGAAAACGCAGCUAAUGCAUUUAAAAGAAAAAUGUCCCACCCGAGUGCAACUCCUCUCAUUCAUCUCCAUGCUAAGUUAGACAACCCAAGGCAGCAACCUUUUACGCUUGCCGUCCUGCCGAGCAAGA